This 90-nucleotide small nucleolar RNA is filed under the name Brassica napus (rape). The record is from RNAcentral. Lineage: Eukaryota; Viridiplantae; Streptophyta; Magnoliopsida; Brassicales; Brassicaceae.
UGCAAUCAAUGAUGAAUAAAAUCGUCCAUAUUUAAUGAUAAUCCCGUGAUUAUUAAUCAAAUAGAUCACCAUCUUUCGGCUGAGAUUACA